AGUCGAGCGCCCCGCAAGGGGAGCGGCAGACGGGUGAGUAACGCGUGGGAAUCUACCCAUCUCUACGGAAUAACGCAUGGAAACGUGUGCUAAUACCGUAUACGUCCUUCGGGAGAAAGAUUUAUCGGAGAUGGAUGAGCCCGCGUUGGAUUAGCUAGUUGGUGGGGUAAAGGCCUACCAAGGCGACGAUCCAUAGCUGGUCUGAGAGGAUGAUCAGCCACACUGGGACUGAGACACGGCCCAGACUCCUACGGGAGGCAGCAGUGGGGAAUAUUGGACAAUGGGCGCAAGCCUGAUCCAGCCAUGCCGCGUGAGUGAUGAAGGCCCUAGGGUUGUAAAGCUCUUUCACCGGUGAAGAUAAUGACGGUAACCGGAGAAGAAGCCCCGGCUAACUUCGUGCCAGCAGCCGCGGUAAUACGAAGGGGGCUAGCGUUGUUCGGAUUUACUGGGCGUAAAGCGCACGUAGGCGGACUAUUAAGUCAGGGGUGAAAUCCCGGGGCUCAACCCCGGAACUGCCUUUGAUACUGGUAGUCUUGAGUUCGAGAGAGGUGAGUGGAAUUCCGAGUGUAGAGGUGAAAUUCGUAGAUAUUCGGAGGAACACCAGUGGCGAAGGCGGCUCACUGG
This 624-nucleotide ribosomal RNA is filed under the name uncultured Phyllobacterium sp. RNAcentral describes it as "bacterial SSU rRNA". It matches the Rfam family "Bacterial small subunit ribosomal RNA", at positions 60 to 732 of the family's 1533-position model. Lineage: Bacteria; Pseudomonadati; Pseudomonadota; Alphaproteobacteria; Hyphomicrobiales; Phyllobacteriaceae. The record is from RNAcentral.